This 80-nucleotide non-coding RNA is filed under the name unclassified sequences. The record is from Rfam.
CCACAGGGGAAAGCGAUCUCCCCUCAAGGCGACAUGCCCAAGAAUCGCGUCCCAUUAACAUUCAAGAGGGCGCAAGCAUG